RNAcentral lists this ribosomal RNA (119 nucleotides) under Pteropus alecto (black flying fox). The record is from RNAcentral. Lineage: Eukaryota; Metazoa; Chordata; Mammalia; Chiroptera; Pteropodidae.
GCCUAUGGCCACGCUACCCUGUACAAGCCCGAUCCCAUCUGAUCUCAGAAGCUAAGCAGGGUCGGGCCUAGUUAGUAUUUGGAUGGAAGACCACCUAGGAAGACCAGGUGUUGUAGAUG